RNAcentral lists this ribosomal RNA (703 nucleotides) under uncultured bacterium. Its description in RNAcentral is "bacterial SSU rRNA". It matches the Rfam family "Bacterial small subunit ribosomal RNA", at positions 94 to 792 of the family's 1533-position model. The record is from RNAcentral.
ACCGGCGCACGGGUGAGUAACGCGUAUGCGACCUGCCCUGCACAGGGGGAUAACCCGGAGAAAUCCGGACUAAUACCACAUGCCCCGUUGGAGCUGCAUGGCUCUUACGGGAAAGGAGGCGACUCCGGUGCAGGAUGGGCAUGCGUGACAUUAGCUAGUCGGCGGGGUAACGGCCCACCGAGGCGACGAUGUCUAGGGGUUCUGAGAGGAAGGUCCCCCACACUGGUACUGAGACACGGACCAGACUCCUACGGGAGGCAGCAGUGAGGAAUAUUGGUCAAUGGUCGGGAGACUGAACCAGCCAAGCCGCGUGAGGGAUGAAGGUACAGAGUAUCGUAAACCUCUUUUGUCAGGGAACAAAGGCGGGGACGUGUCCCCGGAUGAGUGUACCUGAAGAAAAAGCAUCGGCUAACUCCGUGCCAGCAGCCGCGGUAAUACGGAGGAUGCGAGCGUUAUCCGGAUUUAUUGGGUUUAAAGGGUGCGCAGGCGGUCUGUUAAGUCAGCGGUCAAAGCCCGGGGCUCAACCCCGGCCCGCCGUUGAAACUGGCAGUCUCGAGUUGGAGAGAAGUAUGCGGAAUGCGCGGUGUAGCGGUGAAAUGCAUAGAUAUCGCGCAAAACUCCGAUUGCGAAGGCAGCAUGCCGGCUCCACACUGACGCUUANGCACGAAAGCGUGGGUAUCGAACAGGAUUAGAUACCCUGGUA